ACUCCUACGGGAGGCAGCAGUGGGGAAUAUUGGACAAUGGGGGGAACCCUGAUCCAGCCAUGCCGCGUGUGUGAAGAAGGCCUUUUUGGUUGUAAAGCACUUUUAAGCGAGGAGGAGGCUUUACCUGGUUUAAAUACCCCGGGGAUAAGUGGACGUUUACUCGCAGAAUAAGCACCGGCUAACUCUGUGCCAGCAGCCGCGGUAAUACAGAGGGUGCAAAGCGUUUAAAUC
RNAcentral lists this ribosomal RNA (231 nucleotides) under uncultured bacterium. Its description in RNAcentral is "partial 16S ribosomal RNA". It matches the Rfam family "Bacterial small subunit ribosomal RNA", at positions 335 to 542 of the family's 1533-position model. The record is from RNAcentral.